AUUGAACGCUGGCGGCAGGCCUAACACAUGCAAGUCGAGCGGUUGAAGGGAGCUUGCUCCUGGAUUCAGCGGCGGACGGGUGAGUAAUGCCUAGGAAUCUGCCUGGUAGUGGGGGAUAACGUCCGGAAACGGGCGCUAAUACCGCAUACGUCCUGAGGGAGAAAGUGGGGGAUCUUCGGACCUCACGCUAUCAGAUGAGCCUAGGUCGGAUUAGCUAGUUGGUGGGGUAAAGGCCUACCAAGGCGACGAUCCGUAACUGGUCUGAGAGGAUGAUCAGUCACACUGGAACUGAGACACGGUCCAGACUCCGAAGGGAGGCAGCAGUGGGGAAUAUUGGACAAUGGGCGAAAGCCUGAUCCAGCCAUGCCGCGUGUGUGAAGAAGGUCUUCGGAUUGUAAAGCACUUUAAGUUGGGAGGAAGGGCAGUAAGUUAAUACCUUGCUGUUUUGACGUUACCAACAGAAUAAGCACCGGCUAACUUCGUG
RNAcentral lists this ribosomal RNA (484 nucleotides) under uncultured bacterium. RNAcentral describes it as "partial 16S ribosomal RNA". It matches the Rfam family "Bacterial small subunit ribosomal RNA", at positions 30 to 507 of the family's 1533-position model. The record is from RNAcentral.